RNAcentral lists this ribosomal RNA (369 nucleotides) under uncultured organism. RNAcentral describes it as "bacterial SSU rRNA". It matches the Rfam family "Bacterial small subunit ribosomal RNA", at positions 526 to 896 of the family's 1533-position model. The record is from RNAcentral.
CAGAGGUCUCAAGCGUUGUUCGGAAUUACUGGGCGUAAAGGGUGCGCAGGCCGCGCGGGCAGUCAAAUGUGAAAUCCAGAGGCUCAACCUCUGAAUUGCGCUUGAUACUUCCGUGCUAGAACUUUGGAGAGGGAUCUGGAAUUCUCGGUGUAGCAGUGAAAUGCGUGGAUAUCGAGAAGAACACUCAGGGCGAAGGCAAGAUCCUGGACAAAUGUUGACGCUCAUGCACGAAGGCUAGGGUAGCGAACGGGAUUAGAUACCCCGGUAGUCCUAGCUGUAAACGGUGCACGCUUGGUGUGGGAGGCAACCCUUCCCGUGCCGAAGCUAACGCGAUAAGCGUGCCGCCUGGGUAGUACGGUCGCAAGACUA